This is a non-coding RNA of Nicotiana tabacum (common tobacco), 1702 nucleotides long. The record is from RefSeq and is a predicted model, not a curated record. NCBI's taxonomy places the organism in Eukaryota, Viridiplantae, Streptophyta, Magnoliopsida, Solanales, Solanaceae.
GCUGAAGUUCAGCAAUUACAUAACAAACUUCAGCUCAUAGAAUGCUGAAGUUCGGCAAUUAUAAAACAAACUUCAGCUCCUAGAAUGCUGAAGUUCAGCAAUUACAAAACAAAAACUUCAGCCAAAACAUGUAGUUUUAUUGAGCUGAAGUUUGCCAUUGCACUAUGAACUGAAGUUUGCGUGAUUGCCUUUUGAAGUCAGGCCAAACUUCACGUAAAAAUAUCUGAAGUUUUGCUACACUUCAGACAAAACAUUCUGAAGUUCAAACUUCAGACAUAUAUUCUUGCUACUCCAGGCCCGUAUGUCUGAAGUUAUCCGAAAAGUGGGUAUACUUGCAAUUGUUUUUGCAAAGCGGGUAUAAGUUAAAAGUUGACCCAAAACCUGGAUAUAGAUGCAAAUGCCCCUCAAAACUCGAUUCGCCUAAUGGGCUUUCAACAUUCUCGUCAUUGGUAUUCCUAUUGCAAUUUGCAGUCUCGUAUAAAUUUGUUGAACAUAAUAUAAUAACUAUUAAACUAACAUAUCUGUAGAAGAUAAGUCUCUUUGCUCCUACAAUUCCAACUUUCAUAUGCUUAUGCCUUACAAUAAUCACAAAUGUCGCGAAAAAACAAAUCAUGAUUAUGUUAGAAUGCUUUAAACACGCUCCUAAUUAAUCGAAUCAUCGUGAUUAUGUAUACGUUUACGUGACAUAAUUACAAUUUUCAAAAGUAAAGGCAAGGAAUGCGUUCAUGAACUUUUGCCAAAACAAUAUUAAUAAUAAUAAAGUGUUAUUAAUUGUGUACAUGUACGCGUGACAUGAUUCUUGAUGUGCCAAAUGAAAUGAGUAUACAUACACAACUUGAUUCACGAUGAAACCUAUAAUUAUAACAACUAAGCAAAUUAAAUGCGAAUAGAGGCAAAAAUAUAUAAAAUCCCAAAACACCAAAUAUCUAAAAUUAGGUAAGCCAAGUAAAAUUAUUAAGCGACGGUGCUAGAACAACACAAUUUGGGAGUGUCUUAUGCCUUCUCGUGGGUUAACAGAAUUUCUUACCCAGUCUUCUGUGUUCACGAACCAUAAUUCGGAGUCAAAAUUUUCUUUUAAUUGGGAUUUUUAAAAUGGUGACUUGGAAUACCGAAAUCAAAUAUUUCCAAGUGGCGACUCCUUUAAAAUAAAUAAAUCAAUCCCUUUCAAAUAAUGUCACUUAAAUUGAAAAAUUUUAUUUGCCCAUACCCGAAAAAAGGAGGUGCAACAAUGGGUUAUCAGAAUCUACCCCUUGACUCGGGUUUUUGACCAUGUAGGCCUGGAUUGACUUUUGUUGACUUUUUAAAAAUUGAAUAAAGAUUGUAGCUUUACUAUUUGGAAUUGAUUCAUAUAGAUUUAUUUGAUGUUAUUGAGUUAUUUUUAGCUAGAUUCAAGUUGUUCGUAGACCGAUUUGCGAGGAAAGACAUUUUUGGAGCAUUGAUGUUUGCUUGUUUGAGAUUCCGGAAUUGGACCCAGUCGAGCUCUGUGAGCUGAGUUGAUUGUUAUGCGAUGGAGACCGACGUAGACUUGCUUCCUGAUCGCAGUUCCUGGUGUCUCUUCUUAUUUUCCUUUAUUGUUGUUGUUGUUUCAAAUAGUAUUCUUAUAAUUCAGACUUGUAUUCGUACUAUAGAGCUUGUGACUCAUGUUACCAAUUAUGUGGAGUUGAGUUAUGAUUUGAUAUUAUCUAUAGUUAUUUGUCUUUUA